AAUUUUGGACAAUGGGCGCAAGCCUGAUCCAGCCAUGCCGCGUGAGCGAAGAAGGCCUUCGGGGUGUAAAGCUCUUUCGGACGGGAAGAAAUUGCGCUGGCCAAUCCCCGACGCGGAUGACGGUACCGUCAUAAUACUCACCGUCUAACUCCGUGCCAGCAGCCGCGGUAAUACUUAGGGUGCGAGCGUUAAUCGGAAUUACUGGGCGUAAAGCGUGCGCAGGCGGUUGAUUAAGACAGGCGUGAAAUCCCCGGGCUUAACCUGGGAAGUGCGGUUGUGACUGGUCAGCUAGAGUACGGCAGAGGGGGGUGGAAUUCCACGUGUAGCAGUGAGAUGCGUAGAGAUGUGGAGGAACACCGAUGGCGAAGGCAGCGCCCUGGGCCGAUACUGACGCUCAUGCACGAAAGCGUGGGUAGCAAACAGG
This 424-nucleotide ribosomal RNA is filed under the name uncultured bacterium. RNAcentral describes it as "partial 16S ribosomal RNA". It matches the Rfam family "Bacterial small subunit ribosomal RNA", at positions 360 to 776 of the family's 1533-position model. The record is from RNAcentral.